Molecule: ribosomal RNA, 423 nt
Filed under: uncultured bacterium
Lineage: Bacteria
Description: partial 16S ribosomal RNA
Rfam family: Bacterial small subunit ribosomal RNA
Source: RNAcentral
AAUCUUGGACCAUGGGGGAAACCCCGAUCCAGCCAUCCCGCGUGUAUGAUGAAGGCCUUCGGGUUGUACAGUACUUUUGGCAGAGAAGAAAAGGUAUCUCCUAAUACGAGGUACUGCUGACGGUGCCAGCAGAAUACGCACCGGUGAACUACGUGCCAGCAGCCGCGGUAAUACGUAGGGUGCAAGCGUUAAUCGGAAUUACUGGGCGUAAAGCGUGUGUAGGCGGUUCGGAAAGAAAGAUGUGAAAUCCCAGGGCUCAACCUUGGGACUGCAUUUUUAACUGCCGAGCUAGAGUAUGUCAGAGGGGGGUAGAAUUCCACGUGUAGCAGUGAAAUGCGUAGAUAUGUGGAGGAAUACCGAUGGCGAAGGCAGCCCCCUGGGAUAAUACUGACGCUCAGACACGAAAGCGUGGGGAGCAAACAG